GUAGGGUGCAAGCGUUAAUCGGAAUUACUGGGCGUAAAGCGUGCGCAGGCGGUUUUGUAAGUCUGACGUGAAACGCCCCCGGGGGCUCAACCUGGGAAUUGCGUUGGAGACUGCAAGGCUUGAAUCUGGCAGAGGGGGUAGAAUUCCACGUGUAGCAGUGAAAUGCGUAGAGAUGUGGAGGAACACCGAUGGCGAAGGCAGCCCCCUGGGUCAAGAUUGACGCUCAUGCACGAAAGCGUGGGGAGCAAACAGGAUUAGAUACCCUGGUAGUCCACGCCCUAAACGAUGUCUACUAGUUGUCGGGUCUUAAUUGACUUGGUAACGCAGCUAACGCGUGAAGUAGACCGCCUGGGGAGUACGGUCGCAAGAUUA
Molecule: ribosomal RNA, 372 nt
Filed under: uncultured organism
Description: partial 16S ribosomal RNA
Rfam family: Bacterial small subunit ribosomal RNA
Source: RNAcentral